CACGACACCUAACCUACUAUUGGGAUCGGUGGUAGGGGUAUAGGGUCGCGGGGAGGAAGUGUCGGUGGCGGUACGAGGACUGACCAAGAGGAGAGGGCAGCAGCUCGAACGGAGGCGGCGACGAGAGGGGACAGGGAGAGCGUGGUGGUUGCGCUUAGGAGGGUACAUGUGCCACUCGAGCUGCUCGUUCCGACUGCAAACCCGUGACGAUAUGCUCCCGGUACGGCUCUUGCGGGAUCUCGUACCGCCGGAGACGAAGGCGAAGAGUAGGCUACCCGUGGAGGCGCACACGCUGCUGGAACCACGGUGGCGACAGUGGUGGUUACGUCCCGGUUUCCGCUGCCGACGCGUAGCGGUAGUGGUCCUGCUCGCUAUUCCGGUCUCCGCUGCCGGCGCGCAGCGGUAGUGGCCCUCCUCGCCGCCGGCGGCUCUGUCAGCAGGUACAGAGAUCACAGUAGCCGGAAGUCCCACAACAAGGAGAGUAGAGUCGAUACCAAGAACAGGAAGGAGAGUGAAGAAAGAGAGGGCGGUAGCGGUAGGGGUGGUCCUCGUGUGCCUGCUGAUUAGUCAGGUCCAGACUCCGCCACACCAGAGCGUAGCGGGGUGAGGGGAAGUUCUUGUGCCACGGGAGUGGAGGAGAGUAACAACCACCAAAUCUAUGCCCGGUAACUACUAGGAACCACCACGGGACCGGCGCUGUUUCCUCCUCCGCGCUGCGACACGCCCUCUACCCCUCCAGCCCUCCUCCAACAGCGUCACCACCCCGACGUGAAACGCCGAACGUUACUCCGCCGGCACCUGCGGCGCCACCUCCGCCGCACCGCGACGAAACCGUUGCCGCCCGAGUUUGUGGGACCAAUUGACGAAGAGGAUACUUCCCCUUCACGUUCUGAUGGAGUCGUAUUGACUUCUCUCAUGAGUGUGGAACCGACGAUUAUUUCCGCUACCGCUUCACCAAGGCCCUACGCGUCAGGCCGCCAAAGUACCAUACGAACUGGGUCUAGUAGUCACGACGCUCUCCUAAGAUGGGUUCCCGACACCGUAUGACGUGCUCAAAUCCGAAACAAGUAGUCGAGCAGUCUCAAUCGGAUGGAAGGACAAUGUUUCUCCGAAUUUACGAGUGUCUUUAAGCCUUACGGAUGUACUAGUAAUUACAAGAAACAACGACAGUAAGAAACGAAGACAGUUUCUUUUAGAAACGACACUCGUGUAAACGUGGUAAAUCACUCGUAUAAACGAAUACUAUUGGAAUACUUCAACAUGAGACGAAGUUGAGUACAAAGAUGGGAUUAUACAGAUUGACCAAGAAAAAUAAAAAAAGCAGCUCCAUAAGGUUCCGCCGCACCGUCGUGACACCUGCUGUAGUCGUACUGGUCUAGUCACCACUUUUAUGACAGAAACAAUACAGAGUAAGACAACUUACUUAUCAAUGAAAUAUACUACGACCAAUGCCAAACAUACCUCGAUUGUUGACAAUACAAACGGACGAUAAACGUUUCAAACAACCGAAACCAGACGAUGAUGUUGAACGUGUUAUUCACGUUAGCCUAUUUACUGUGUUGCACGUGUUAUCGAUGAACUAUACUCGAACACCUCUUUGAACUCCUUUGUUCCAAUUAUCCUACGUAAAGUCAUCUCGAACUAGCACGUCUAAAAGAACUUAAUUUCGGAUGACUAUUUCGAUUCCAAAGAUACCCACUUUCCCCAACAUGGUUAAAUGUCCUGGGUUUCACCGUCUUCUAAGAUGUCGACGCAUUUGGUAGUCCAUGAAGCACUCACUACUAGUUAGUUAAGCUUCUUGGUGAACGAAGCCGUGACAAUAACGGGUUGAUACAUAAUAUGGUGACCGAUGGUUCGGCAAAAUCACUUAAAGAUAAACUGGUAAGUGGAAAACAUCCUUACAGAACGAGACUUAUAAUACAACGUAGUUUUAACAACCUACGAGAGAGUCCGGAACUGACGAAACAUAUUUAUAUGUCAUAUAUUUCGUAAGACACAACCGGGACAGA
Molecule: ribosomal RNA, 2009 nt
Filed under: Triticum aestivum (bread wheat)
Lineage: Eukaryota; Viridiplantae; Streptophyta; Magnoliopsida; Poales; Poaceae
Description: partial small subunit ribosomal RNA
Source: RNAcentral